UACGUAGGGUCCGAGCGUUGUCCGGAAUUACUGGGCGUAAAGAGCUCGUAGGUGGUUUGUCGCGUUGUUCGUGAAAACCUGAGGCUUAACCUUGGGCGUGCGGGCGAUACGGGCAGACUGGAGUACUGCAGGGGAGACUGGAAUUCCUGGUGUAGCGGUGGAAUGCGCAGAUAUCAGGAGGAACACCGGUGGCGAAGGCGGGUCUCUGGGCAGUAACUGACGCUGAGGAGCGAAAGCGUGGGGAGCGAACAGG
This 253-nucleotide ribosomal RNA is filed under the name uncultured bacterium. RNAcentral's name for it is "partial 16S ribosomal RNA". It matches the Rfam family "Bacterial small subunit ribosomal RNA", at positions 524 to 776 of the family's 1533-position model. The record is from RNAcentral.